CUCUGCACUUCAAUAUUUAUUUUUGCUCCUCCACCAGCUGGACACCAUAAUCCCGUUUGAGAGGUUGUACUGUUACACCUCUAGCAUUAGUAAGCUGUGUUAAGUCAAUUGGUUGCGUAGGGUCAACUCUACCCAAAUCAAUCAGGUACUGCAGCUUCUGAAGACUGAGUGGAUGAUACUGACGUCGGCAGCUAUGUCCCUCAUUAAACCCGUAUUUUGGUAUAGACAAAUAAAAUGGAGUUUGGCCACCUUCAAAGCCUAAGCGGGGGCGAUUUCCUCUUUGUCUUUCCCCUUUGUGACCUCGACCACACUUUCUACCUCUGUAUCGUCCACGGCCACGUCUUCUCUCCGGCUUUUUUGAACCCGGAUUGGGCCUCAGGUUGGCCAGGCUGACCUUAGGCAGCGACCGCAGCAGUUGCAGAGCCCCAUGCACGCCGUGCACACCAUUCCCGCUCAUCGCCACUGCCCUCCCAAGGACGACGACAGCGCUCCGCAGGCAGAGCUGCUUUACGGCAAGAGCCGUAAACCGCGCCUCCCAGCACUGUCGUGCGGUGCCAUACCCUGGGAGGGCGAGAGCGCGCCGGGGGUGGCACAAGAUGGCGGCGAUUAGAGGCGUGCAUUUGCGCUCUGUCAGAUAGCUGCCAGUGGGCUACGUCCUGCAAGAGCAGGGAAGCGCGAGUCCUCUCAGCAGACAAUACCAACGGCUUAGGUCACAAACUGGACUUAGUUCUUCACUAUUCUGUUAUUUGCACUGCCCCCAACCCCGUGUUUUAAAGCCAAGCCUUUAAAACUGUUAGGCUGCAUAUGAACAGGAGUAUGCUGGUAUGGGAAACCAUCUGUGUCGAUUUCAGCCACUAGAAUAGAGGAAAUACACAGUUUAGAGCACGUUCUGCCUUGUAAAGUUCUCAGUACCUUAAAUUAGGUAGAAAAAUAUUCAUAUGCAGAUAACUCACUGUAAAGACAUCCAACUCGCAAGGCUUUGAAGGAUUCACAAUUCAAAAGCUUAUACUGGUUCCUUCAGGAAGCCAAGCCCUGUGCUGUUUGCCUGCAGGCAGCAGGCUGCCCUGUGCCCCACUGCCCUUCUGCUGUUGUGCAACUCCCAGCCGCCCUAUGUGCGCAGAGCUGUGUUGCUCUGGCAGUGCUGGCAGUUCAGCUGACGUCAGUCCAGAUGCAAUGAUCAACCGCUUGGCCCAGCUGUCAACAGGCAUCAGGCCCUGUGUUGCAUCAGGCCACCGCAGGAGAGUUAUCUUUAUUGAAUAAGAAAGACAAUCUGGUAAACAUCACUGUAGCAGAUUUGAGUUGGGUACCAUACGUGUGACAAGAACUAAAGCACGGAGAUAAAACAUAGAAGCCGUGUUAAAAUUAAUUUGGCAACAGCGGGAACUCCCUGCCACAGAUACUAGAUAUCAAAACAGCAUCACAAUCAUGGAAAAAAAGGUAGUGUAAACUUGAAGUUAUACAGUUGGUGCAAAGACCUCUCCAACAUAAGUUAUGCAGCCAUGCUGACAAAGAUAUUAAGACUUGAGCAGAAUUUACUUAGUAGAAAACUACCCCUGCCUGGUAUGGAACAUGUCAGCAGGAUGGAUACGCAGUGCACUUUCAGCUGCUGUUUGAGUUGCCAAAUAGCAUCUGUGCUAGGCAG
This 1642-nucleotide long non-coding RNA is filed under the name Gallus gallus (chicken). Lineage: Eukaryota; Metazoa; Chordata; Aves; Galliformes; Phasianidae. The record is from RNAcentral.